AAAAGCUCGUAGUUUGAUUUCGGCGAGCAGGGGGCGGUUCGUUAUUUGACGUAACUGCCCCAUUUGCUCGUGUUUCUUCGGCAGAACUCCCGGGGUGCUCUUCGCCGAGUGUCCCGUUGGGGGCUGCCAGGUUUACUUUGAAAAAAUUAGAGUGCUCCAAGCAGGCUCGACACGCCUGAAUAUUUGUGCAUGGAAUAAUGGAAUAGGACGUCGUUCCUAUUUUGUUGGUUUUAGGGAAUCGACGUAAUGAUUAAUAGGGACAGCCGGGGGCAUUAGUAUUCAGACGACAGAGGUGAAAUUCUUGGACCGUCUGGCGACUCACUGCUGCGAAAGCGUUUGCCAAGUAUGUUUUCAUUAAUCAAGAACGAAAGUUAGAGGUUCGAAGGCGAUCAGAUACCGCCCUAGUUCUAACCAUAAACGAUGCCAGCUAGCGAUCCGCAGAUGUUUUUAUUGUAGGCUCUGCGGGAAGCUUCCGGGAAACCAAAGCUUUUGGGUUCCGGGGGAAGUAUGGUUGCAAAGCUGAAACUUAAAGAAAUUGACGGAAGGGCACCACCAGGCGUGGAACUUGCGGCUUAAUUUGACUCAACACUGGAAAUCUCACCAGGCCCGGACACCGGAAGGAUUGACAGAUUGAGAGCUCUUUCUCGAUUCGG
RNAcentral lists this ribosomal RNA (653 nucleotides) under Cyclops kolensis. RNAcentral describes it as "SSU rRNA". It matches the Rfam family "Eukaryotic small subunit ribosomal RNA", at positions 622 to 1270 of the family's 1831-position model. The record is from RNAcentral. Lineage: Eukaryota; Metazoa; Arthropoda; Copepoda; Cyclopoida; Cyclopidae.